RNAcentral lists this ribosomal RNA (600 nucleotides) under uncultured soil bacterium. Its description in RNAcentral is "bacterial SSU rRNA". It matches the Rfam family "Bacterial small subunit ribosomal RNA", at positions 8 to 652 of the family's 1533-position model. The record is from RNAcentral.
ASAGUUUGAUCCUGGCUCAGAGCGAACGCUGGCGGCAGGCUUAACACAUGCAAGUCGAGCGCUCGUAGCAAUACGAGAGCGGCAGACGGGAGAGUAACACGUGGGAACGCGCCCUUCGGUUCGGAAUAACUCAGGGAAACUUGAGCUAAUACCGGAUACGCCCUAACGGGGAAAGAUUUAUCGCCGAAGGAACGGCCCGCGUCGGAUUAGCUAGUUGGUGAGGUAAUGGCUCACCAAGGCAACGAUCCGUAGCUGGUCUAAGAGGAUGAUCAGCCUCACUGGGACUGAGACACGGCCCAGACUCCUACGGGAGGCAGCAGUGGGGAAUAUUGGACAAUGGGCGCAAGCCUGAUCCAGCCAUGCCGCGUGGGUGAUGAAGGCCCUAGGGUUGUAAAGCCCUUUCGGCGGGGAAGAUAAUGACGGUACCCGCAGAAGAAGCCCCGGCUAACUUCGUGCCAGCAGCCGCGGUAAUACGAAGGGGGCUAGCGUUGCUCGGAAUUACUGGGCGUAAAGCGCACGUAGGCGGAUUGUUAAGUCGGGGGUGAAAUCCUGGAGCUCAACUCCAGAACUGCCUUCGAAACUGGCGAUCUUGAGUCCGGG